AGCGUUGUGAAGCGUUGAGCUAACAUGUACUAAUGACUCGAGAGGCUUAACCA
This 53-nucleotide ribosomal RNA is filed under the name Shewanella putrefaciens. Its description in RNAcentral is "partial 23S ribosomal RNA". Lineage: Bacteria; Pseudomonadati; Pseudomonadota; Gammaproteobacteria; Alteromonadales; Shewanellaceae. The record is from RNAcentral.